GGGCAUAGUGGUUAUAGCGUCCGUCUCGGAUACUGGAGGUCGUGGGUUCAACCCCCGGACGAGUCA
Molecule: non-coding RNA, 66 nt
Organism: Potamilus streckersoni
Lineage: Eukaryota; Metazoa; Mollusca; Bivalvia; Unionida; Unionidae
Source: the annotation of a GenBank genome assembly